This 1398-nucleotide ribosomal RNA is filed under the name hydrothermal vent metagenome. Its description in RNAcentral is "bacterial SSU rRNA". It matches the Rfam family "Bacterial small subunit ribosomal RNA". The record is from RNAcentral.
AGGGUUUGAUCCUGGCUCAGAACGAACGUUAGCGGUGUGGAUUAGGCAUGCAAGUCGAGCGAGAAAGCCUUCGGGUGAGUACCGCGGCGCAAGGGUGAGUAACACGUAAUCAACCUACCCCCCAGACUGGAAUAAUCGCGGGAAACUGCGGGUAAUGCCAGAUGGUUUCAGCAGUUGGCAUCAACUGCUGAUUAAACGGCGGCUUCGGCUGCUGCUGGGGGAGGGGGUUGCGGCCUAUCAGCUUGUUGGUGGGGUAAUGGCCUACCAAGGCAAUGACGGGUAGCCGGUCUGAGAGGAUGGUCGGUCACACUGGGACUGAGACACUGCCCAGACUCCUACGGGAGGCUGCAGUCGAGAAUCUUCCGCAAUGGGCGAAAGCCUGACGGAGCGACACCGCGUGCAGGAUGAAGGCCUUAGGGUUGUAAACUGCUGUCACGCCAUAGGAAUGGCGCGUUAUUAAUAGUUGCGCGUUUGACUAAAGCGAAAGGAAGCACCGGCUAACUCCGUGCCAGCAGCCGCGGUAAGACGGAGGGUGCAAACGUUGUUCGGAAUCACUGGGCAUAAAGCGCAUGCAGGCGGCCAUCUAAGUCAGGUGUGAAAUCCCACGGCUCAACCGUGGAACGGCAUUUGAAACUGGAUGGCUAGAGUACGGUUGGGGUGAGUGGAACUCCUGGUGGAGCGGUGAAAUGCGUAGAUAUCAGGAGGAACACCAGUGGCGAAAGCGGCUCACUGGACCGUAACUGACGCUGAGGUGCGAAAGCUAGGGUAGCGAACGGGAUUAGAUACCCCGGUAGUCCUAGCCGUAAACGAUGCGUACUAGGUAGGGGGGGCUCCUAUGGUCUUCUCUACCGGAGCAAAUGUGUUAAGUACGCCGCCUGGGGAGUACGCUCGCAAGAGUAAAACUCAAAGGAAUUGACGGGGGAUCACACAAGCGGUGGAGCAUGUGGUUUAAUUCGAAGCAACGCGAAGAACCUUACCUGGCCUUGANNNNNNCCAGCGGGUAAUGCCGGGGACUCUAGCGAGACUGCCGUUGUUAAAACGGAGGAAGGUGGGGACGACGUCAAGUCAUCAUGGCCCUUAUGGCCAGGGCGACACACGUGCUACAAUGGCCGGUACAAAGGGAACCAAGACCGCGAGGUGGAGGCAAUCCCACAAAGCCGGCCCCAGUUCGGAUUGCAGGCUGAAAUUCGCCUGCAUGAAGUUGGAAUCGCUAGUAAUCGCGUAUCAGCCAUGACGCGGUGAAUAUGUUCCUGAUCCUUGUACACACCGCCCGUCAAGCCACGAAAGCGGGGAGCGCUCAAAGUCGCUUUGUCCAACCUUCGGGAGGACGGCGCCCAAAGUGAGAUCCGUGAUUGGGACUAAGUCGUAACAAGGUAGCCGUAGGGGAACCUGCGGCUG